AUCCGGAUGACGAGUCCAAAAUAGGGUGAAAUACGCGUAAUCCUGGAU
This 48-nucleotide non-coding RNA is filed under the name Trichobilharzia regenti. Lineage: Eukaryota; Metazoa; Platyhelminthes; Trematoda; Strigeidida; Schistosomatidae. The record is from RNAcentral.